RNAcentral lists this non-coding RNA (177 nucleotides) under Alkalispirochaeta americana. The record is from RNAcentral. Lineage: Bacteria; Pseudomonadati; Spirochaetota; Spirochaetia; Spirochaetales; Spirochaetaceae.
CGUGGUAUCGUCAGACAAGAUCCGUAUACGCGAUACGAGGUCAGGGAACCCGGUGAGAAUCCGGGACAGUCCCCGCUACUGUGUUCGGUGAGAACGUUGGCACAGGCCACCGCAAGGGAAGGCGCCAACCGACAAAGACCCGUAAGUCAGGAGACCUGCCCAAUCGCGAAACACCGU